RNAcentral lists this long non-coding RNA (1496 nucleotides) under Homo sapiens (human). Its description in RNAcentral is "non-protein coding lnc-LRRC37A2-3:1". The record is from RNAcentral. Lineage: Eukaryota; Metazoa; Chordata; Mammalia; Primates; Hominidae.
UGCCACUGCACUCCAGCCUGGCGACAAAGCGAGACUCCGUCUCAAAAAAAUAAAAAAGAAAUCAGAAACUGUUCAAAUUCCAAUCUAUACAAGUGAAACCUACACAGUUAAAUGUCUUAAUAGAGAGCUAAAAGCAUUAAGUUCUGUCAUACUCAACAUACUGAUGAAAAAAAUUUGAACUAAAAGACAGCCUGAUCUUUAGAAACUGGCAGAAAAAAUAGGGGCUGCAUCCAAGACCACUCACGGCACGUCCAUUCUUCCAGCAGCUCCCAACUGCUAUUUUAUGAAAAGUCCAAAUUUCCCACCCCAAGGUCCUAGAGUACAGCCAGCUCCCUACCAUCAAAAACAAUAGCUACCAAAACUCAGUAAAAUUAGGCUUGUUAUGAAGAGAAGAUUGAAGAAAUAAAGGUAUUUAUUUCAUCUUGGUAUUUGAAUGUGGAAACUCCCAGUAGGGUAAGAAAAAAGAAUUCUGCCAGAGAAAUGAUGAAGUGAAACCUCAAACAAUUUGGGCUUUUGAGUGCCUACUGUCAUCCAGCCACGAAAUGAAGCAUUUUACAUAAGUAAUUUAAGCCCAGUGAUGCAGGCAGUAAGUAUUAUCUCCAUUUUAAGAUGAGGAAAUUGAGACAGACGAGAUUACCUAACUCUCUCAAGGUUUCACCACAGAGCUGUGGUUCAAACCCAUGUGUUCUAGUUUUAUUACAGUUAAGAAACUGCAAGAGUUUGCCAAUUUGUCAAGUGCCAGUCCAAGAUAAAUGGACACUCUGAGUAUCAAAAAAAUACAUAAUCUGCAGAUCAAAACACGAAGAUACAAACAUCUAAGAGUCACCAUGGAAGUUGCGGGGCAUCCAGUGGUUUUUCUGAAAAUCCAUGAAGGAAAAGAAUAAAGCAUUUUUCCAGCCUCUCUUCUACAAACUAUAUUUCAGGGAAACCAAAUAUUUGAUGAGGGAAUUCUUUGUUUAGAAGGAUUUUAGCUAAUAAAUGCAGAGGAAUAACAAGAUUUAGGAGGGGGGAGAAAUCACCAUUUUGUGACUUCUAAUAAAAUAAUGGGUCUAGGCAACAGUUUUCAAUGGAUGCUAAAACGAUUAGGUGAAAAGUUGAUGGAGAAUUUUAAUUCAGGGGAAUUAGGCUGAUACCAUCUGAAACCAUUUGGCAUCAUUAAAAAUGUGACAACCUGGUGGCUGCCAGGGAGGAAGGGGAGAGGGUGGGGGAAGAACAGAAGUUAUAGUUUAUGGGCACAAAGUUUUGGUUUUACAAGAUGAAAAUAGUUACAGAAAUGAAUGGUGGUGAUGGUUGCAGAAUAUUAUGACUGACUAUACACUUAAAAAUGUUUAAGAUAGAGCUGGGUGCAGUGUUGCACACCUGUAGUCCCAGUUAUGCAGGAGGCUGAGGUAGGAGAACCACUUGAGCCCAUGAGUUCGAGACCAGUCUGAGUAACAUAUAGAGACCUCAUCUCACAAAAACAUCACUACCACAAAACAAAACAAAACAAAUUGUUA